CCCUACGGGUGGCAGCAGUGGGGAAUAUUGGACAAUGGGCGAAAGCCUGAUCCAGCCAUGCCGCGUGUGUGAAGAAGGCCUUCGGGUUGUAAAGCACUUUCAGUGGGGAAGAAAGCCUUGGGGCUAAUACCCUCGAGGAAGGACAUCACCCACAGAAGAAGCACCGGCUAACUCCGUGCCAGCAGCCGCGGUAAUACGGAGGGUGCGAGCGUUAAUCGGAAUUACUGGGCGUAAAGCGCGCGUAGGCGGUCUGAUAAGCCGGUUGUGAAAGCCCCGGGCUCAACCUGGGAACGGCAUCCGGAACUGUCAGGCUAGAGUGCAGGAGAGGAAGGUAGAAUUCCCGGUGUAGCGGUGAAAUGCGUAGAGAUCGGGAGGAAUACCAGUGGCGAAGGCGGCCUUCUGGACUGACACUGACGCUGAGGUGCGAAAGCGUGGGUAGCAAACAGGAUUAGAUACCCUAGUAGUC
Molecule: ribosomal RNA, 466 nt
Filed under: Vreelandella stevensii
Lineage: Bacteria; Pseudomonadati; Pseudomonadota; Gammaproteobacteria; Oceanospirillales; Halomonadaceae
Description: partial 16S ribosomal RNA
Rfam family: Bacterial small subunit ribosomal RNA
Source: RNAcentral